GACGAACGCUGGCGGCGGGCUUAACACAUGCAAGUCGAACGGAAAGGCCCCUUUGGGGGUACUCGAGUGGCGAACGGGUGUGUAACACGUGAGUAACCUGCCCUUGACUUCGGGAUAACUUCAGGAAACUGGGGCUAAUACCGGCUAGGAAUCCUUGCGGCAUGGUGGGGGUUGGAAAGCUUCGGCGGUUUUGGAUGGACUCGCGGCGUAUCAGCUUGUUGGUGGGGUAGUGGCUUACCAAGGCGUUGACGGGUAGCCGGCCUGAGAGGGCGACCGGCCACAUUGGGACUGACAGAAGGCCCAGACGCCGACGGGAGGCAGAAGGGCGGAAGAUUGCACAAGGGGCGGCAGCCGGAUGCAGAAAGGCCGCGUGCGGGAUGACGGCCUUCGGGUUGUAAACCGGUAUUAGCAGGGGCGAAGCUUGUGGUGACGGUACCUGCAGAAGAAGCACCGGCUAACUACGUG
RNAcentral lists this ribosomal RNA (465 nucleotides) under uncultured bacterium. RNAcentral's name for it is "partial 16S ribosomal RNA". It matches the Rfam family "Bacterial small subunit ribosomal RNA", at positions 28 to 507 of the family's 1533-position model. The record is from RNAcentral.